RNAcentral lists this ribosomal RNA (359 nucleotides) under Trisetacus ehmanni. Its description in RNAcentral is "partial large subunit ribosomal RNA". It matches the Rfam family "Eukaryotic large subunit ribosomal RNA", at positions 645 to 952 of the family's 3401-position model. Lineage: Eukaryota; Metazoa; Arthropoda; Arachnida; Trombidiformes; Phytoptidae. The record is from RNAcentral.
UGACCCGUCUUGAAACACGGACCAAGGAGUCUAGUUAAGUAUCGAGUUGAUCGGUCUUGAUUAGGCCAGAAUGGGAAUUUCGUAUUCCCGAUUGAAAGCAAAGUGAAAUCAAAUUAUGUGAUCCUAUCUCCUCCAAAAAGGACUAGGCGCAACAUAUACCCACUCGUAUAACUAUACGCGCAAGUGUUAGUUGGGUGGAGUAAAGAGAUACUUGACUGGUACCCGAAAGAUGGUGAACUAUGCCUGGGCAAAUUGAAGCCAGAGGAAACUCUGGUGGAGGAUUGUAGCGAUUCUGACGUGCAAAUCGAUCGUCAGACCUGGGUAUAGGGGCGAAAGACUAAUCGAACCAUCUAGUAGCU